GCCUAUGAUGAUGUCAUCCAAUUAGUUGAGGUGUAGUGGAACUGAGACCCUGUUUACAGGGAGAAGAACCCCUUUGAGAAACUGUAUUCGCAUGACAAUAAUGGAUCUGACUGAAGC
Molecule: small nucleolar RNA, 117 nt
Organism: Papaver somniferum (opium poppy)
Lineage: Eukaryota; Viridiplantae; Streptophyta; Magnoliopsida; Ranunculales; Papaveraceae
Product: small nucleolar RNA Z278
Exons: 1
Source: RefSeq, a predicted model, not a curated record